Molecule: ribosomal RNA, 646 nt
Filed under: uncultured prokaryote
Description: bacterial SSU rRNA
Rfam family: Bacterial small subunit ribosomal RNA
Source: RNAcentral
AUUGAACGCUGGCGGCAGGCCUAACACAUGCAAGUCGAGCGGCAGCGGAAAGUAGCUUGCUACUUUGCCGGCGAGCGGCGGACGGGUGAGUAAUGUCUGGGAAACUGCCUGAUGGAGGGGGAUAACUACUGGAAACGGUGGCUAAUACCGCAUAACGUCGCAAGACCAAAGUGGGGGACCUUCGGGCCUCACGCCAUCGGAUGUGCCCAGAUGGGAUUAGCUAGUAGGUGGGGUAAUGGCUCACCUAGGCGACGAUCCCUAGCUGGUCUGAGAGGAUGACCAGCCACACUGGAACUGAGACACGGUCCAGACUCCUACGGGAGGCAGCAGUGGGGAAUAUUGCACAAUGGGCGCAAGCCUGAUGCAGCCAUGCCGCGUGUGUGAAGAAGGCCUUCGGGUUGUAAAGCACUUUCAGCGAGGAGGAAGGCAUCAUACUUAAUACGUGUGGUGAUUGACGUUACCCGCAGAAGAANCACCGGCUAACUCCGUGCCAGCAGCCGCGGUAAUACGGAGGGUGCAAGCGUUAAUCGGAAUUACUGGGCGUAAAGCGCACGCAGGCGGUUUGNUAANUCANANGUGAAAUCCCCNCGCUUAACGUGGGAACUGCAUUUGAAACUGGCAAGCUAGANUCUUGUAGAGGGGGGUA